Molecule: ribosomal RNA, 156 nt
Filed under: Rhizophagus irregularis
Lineage: Eukaryota; Fungi; Glomeromycota; Glomeromycetes; Glomerales; Glomeraceae
Source: RNAcentral
CAGUCGUACCUGCGGACAACCAGCUUUUUGAGUGUGAUUAUGUGGACUGUGAGGAGUUUAAUCACCCUCAUGUUUUACGUAUUCGUGCUCUUGGGUGUACUUGCCCAAGAGCACGAAUANGCAAAGCAUGAAGGUGUUAAGCUCCUCAAACUCCAC